GGUCAAUAAGAAUGAAAAUCGCCACAAAAUCUGCAUAUGCAUUGCAAUAUUUACAUGAAAAAUGUAAAAUUAUACACCAAGAUAUCAAGACGGAUAAUAUACUGCUUGACUAUGAAUUUGAGCCAAAGAUUCAGCAGAAGAUCAUUUCAAUAGGGCACAUCGAGACUGGAGAACAAUUGGGAGAUAUCUCUACGAAAGGUUUGAAUGGAGCUCGGGUUGACUAUAUUUG
Molecule: unclassified non-coding RNA, 229 nt
Filed under: Hevea brasiliensis (rubber tree)
Lineage: Eukaryota; Viridiplantae; Streptophyta; Magnoliopsida; Malpighiales; Euphorbiaceae
Source: RNAcentral